GAGAAGAACAUACAAAGUGCCUGCACCGUUGUCUCUGGUUCAUAUUGACACCAAUCAUAAACUGAUACGAUAUGGUCUGGUGAUCUUCGGAGCCAUUGACGGCUUCUCCAGAAAAGUGAUGUACUUACGGGUUGCAAACAACAACCAAGCGGCCACGGCUUUGGAGUUUUUCCUUGAGGGUGUAGAAACUCAUGGCUGUCCAUCAAGAGUUCGAGGAGACCAAGGAGUCGAAAAUGUCGACAUUGCCCGUUACAUGUUUACGGUCCGUGGUUGUGGCAGGGGAA
Molecule: long non-coding RNA, 284 nt
Organism: Neoarius graeffei (lesser salmon catfish)
Lineage: Eukaryota; Metazoa; Chordata; Actinopteri; Siluriformes; Ariidae
Exons: 4
Source: RefSeq, a predicted model, not a curated record